RNAcentral lists this long non-coding RNA (284 nucleotides) under Ananas comosus (pineapple). Its description in RNAcentral is "long non-coding RNA (ACOM_LNC011076)". The record is from RNAcentral. Lineage: Eukaryota; Viridiplantae; Streptophyta; Magnoliopsida; Poales; Bromeliaceae.
UCCCACCUCCUACAACGGAAUGGAUUCGGACCGAAUCAUUUUUUUGUAUUUUUUAUUUUUCUUACCACUUCAUUCGGAGCGGAUCAGGACGGAAGCGAAUUUUUUAUAAAUAUUUGACGAAUCGAAACCGAUUGAAGAAAGAAAAUAAUUUCUUUACUUCAUUUACUUAGCGGAUUGAAACGAAUUAACAACAAACUACAUUUUUCUAUAUUUUUUAUUUUUAUUUAUCGCCCUAUUCGGAACGGAUUGAUGCGGGAGCUCCACCGGACCAAAUCCAUUUGCAU